Molecule: ribosomal RNA, 267 nt
Filed under: Alectorobius capensis
Lineage: Eukaryota; Metazoa; Arthropoda; Arachnida; Ixodida; Argasidae
Description: Ornithodoros capensis partial 18S ribosomal RNA
Rfam family: Eukaryotic small subunit ribosomal RNA
Source: RNAcentral
UUCCAGCUCCAAUAGCGUAUGCUAAAGCUGCUGCGGUUAAAAAGCUCGUAGUUGGAUCUCAGUUGCGGGCGGGUGGUGCAUCUACCCGAUGUGACAGCCCGAUCUGAACAUCUUGCCUUCUAUCCUCUGGUGUCCUUCACUGGAUGCCUUUGGGUGGUCGGUGCAUUUACUUUGAAAAAAUUAGAGUGCUCAACGCAGGCGAAGUGCCUGAACACUUAUCAUGGAAUAAUAGAACAAGACCCCGUUUCUGUUCUGUUGGUUUUUUGG